UGCAAGUCGAGCGGACAGAUGGGAGCUUGCUCCCUGAUGUUAGCGGCGGACGGGUGAGUAACACGUGGGUAACCUGCCUGUAAGACUGGGAUAACUCCGGGAAACCGGGGCUAAUACCGGAUGGUUGUUUGAACCGCAUGGUUCAGACAUAAAAGGUGGCUUCGGCUACCACUUACAGAUGGACCCGCGGCGCAUUAGCUAGUUGGUGAGGUAACGGCUCACCAAGGCAACGAUGCGUAGCCGACCUGAGAGGGUGAUCGGCCACACUGGGACUGAGACACGGCCCAGACUCCUACGGGAGGCAGCAGUAGGGAAUCUUCCGCAAUGGACGAAAGUCUGACGGAGCAACGCCGCGUGAGUGAUGAAGGUUUUCGGAUCGUAAAGCUCUGUUGUUAGGGAAGAACAAGUGCCGUUCAAAUAGGGCGGCACCUUGACGGUACCUAACCAGAAAGCCACGGCUAACUACGUGCCAGCAGCCGCGGUAAUACGUAGGUGGCAAGCGUUGUCCGGAAUUAUUGGGCGUAAAGGGCUCGCAGGCGGUUUCUUAAGUCUGAUGUGAAAGCCCCCGGCUCAACCGGGGAGGGUCAUUGGAAACUGGGGAACUUGAGUGCAGAAGAGGAGAGUGGAAUUCCACGUGUAGCGGUGAAAUGCGUAGAGAUGUGGAGGAACACCAGUGGCGAAGGCGACUCUCUGGUCUGUAACUGACGCUGAGGAGCGAAAGCGUGGGGAGCGAACAGGAUUAGAUACCCUGGUAGUCCACGCCGUAANCGAUGAGUGCUAAGUGUUAGGGGGUUUCCGCCCCUUA
RNAcentral lists this ribosomal RNA (805 nucleotides) under Bacillus subtilis. RNAcentral describes it as "bacterial SSU rRNA". It matches the Rfam family "Bacterial small subunit ribosomal RNA", at positions 56 to 842 of the family's 1533-position model. The record is from RNAcentral. Lineage: Bacteria; Bacillati; Bacillota; Bacilli; Caryophanales; Bacillaceae.